RNAcentral lists this ribosomal RNA (466 nucleotides) under uncultured bacterium. RNAcentral describes it as "partial 16S ribosomal RNA". It matches the Rfam family "Bacterial small subunit ribosomal RNA", at positions 28 to 507 of the family's 1533-position model. The record is from RNAcentral.
GACGAACGCUGGCGGCGUGCUUAACACAUGCAAGUCGUGCGGUAAGGCCCUUUCGGGGGUACACGAGCGGCGAACGGGUGAGUAACACGUGAGCAACCUGCCCUUCACUUUGGGAUAACUGCCGGAAACGGUGGCUAAUACCGGAUAUGACUUCCUCACGCAUGUGGGGUGGUGGAAAGCCUUCGGGUGGUGGGGGAUGGGCUCGCGGUCUAUCAGCUUGUUGGUGGGGUGAUGGCCUACCAAGGCUUCGACGGGUAGCCGGCCUGAGAGGGUGACCGGCCACACGGGGCCUGAGACAGGGCCCAGACGGCUACGGGAGGCAGCAGUGGGGAAUAUUGGACAAUGGGCGAAAGCCUGAGCCAGCAACGCCGCGUGAGGGAUGACGGCCUUCGGGUUGUAAACCGCUUUCGCCUGCGACGAAGCGAGAGUGACGGUAGCAGGUAAAGAAGCACCGGCCAACUACGUG